GCCCUGGCUGAUCAGUGAAAAAGGCGGUAGAUUUAAGCGCUAUAUCAUUAGAUAUUCAUAUCGCAUAUCUCUACUACGGGUGACCGUGCAUGAGUUCGAACCUCAUCUGAUGCA
Knufia fluminis is the source of this 114-nucleotide non-coding RNA. Lineage: Eukaryota; Fungi; Ascomycota; Eurotiomycetes; Chaetothyriales; Trichomeriaceae. The record is from the annotation of a GenBank genome assembly.